CAGUCGCCGCGGGAAUACGGAGGGAGCUAGCGUUGUUCGGAAUUACCGGGCGUAAAGCGCGCGUAGGCGGUUACUCAAGUCAGAGGUGAAAGCCCGGGGCUCAACCCCGGAACUGCCUUUGAAACUAGGUGACUAGAAUCUUGGAGAGGUCAGUGGAAUUCCGAGUGUAGAGGUGAAAUUCGUAGAUAUUCGGAAGAACACCAGUGGCGAAGGCGACUGACUGGACAAGUAUUGACGCUGAGGUGCGAAAGCGUGGGGAGCAAACAGGAUUAGAUACCCCGGUAGUCCCUGUCUCUUAUAC
Molecule: ribosomal RNA, 301 nt
Filed under: uncultured bacterium
Lineage: Bacteria
Description: partial 16S ribosomal RNA
Rfam family: Bacterial small subunit ribosomal RNA
Source: RNAcentral